Molecule: long non-coding RNA, 346 nt
Filed under: Brassica napus (rape)
Lineage: Eukaryota; Viridiplantae; Streptophyta; Magnoliopsida; Brassicales; Brassicaceae
Description: long non-coding RNA (BNAP_LNC017043)
Source: RNAcentral
GAGAUGUUCCCUCCUCGUCGUCCUCAGGUGGUAACGCUUCAAGGUGCUCAUCAGCAAGAGUGCCCAUCUCUUCAAUGUAGAAGGCUUGCUCGAACACAGUUGGUUUCUUCAUUUUCUCCUUGAUGUCAAAGUGGAGAACAUGCCCUUUACCCAAAUGGAGAUCAAUCGUGCCCUCUUUCACCUUAACAAUUGCUCCUGUUGUAGCUAAGAAUGGUCUUCCAAGAAUCAAUGGGUCUUGAGCCUCCUCACCCAUCUCAAGCACCACAAAAUCUGUAGGUAUCUCAUACCUUCCAAUCUUCACAGGGAGGUCCUCUAUGAUGCCCACAGGGUACUGCACUGAACGAUC